This is a small nucleolar RNA of Myotis lucifugus (little brown bat), 86 nucleotides long. The record is from Ensembl. NCBI's taxonomy places the organism in Eukaryota, Metazoa, Chordata, Mammalia, Chiroptera, Vespertilionidae.
AUCCUUUUGUAGCUCAUGAGGGCGACUCUUAUGUGAGAUGUGCCUCCCUCAAACCUUGUUAGGAAAUGCACAUUACCUCUCUAAUA